Molecule: unclassified non-coding RNA, 289 nt
Filed under: Hevea brasiliensis (rubber tree)
Lineage: Eukaryota; Viridiplantae; Streptophyta; Magnoliopsida; Malpighiales; Euphorbiaceae
Source: RNAcentral
CAUUGCCAUUCAGGGGUCAACGCGGUCCUGUAAUCUUGCCCGGAAAAACGGAGGUAACCACCGAAUGGGAAAGCUUGAACAUCCGCACCCAGCAGGGCUUUUGAAGAACGCGGCCUUCUCACAGGUUGUCGUGGCCUCGGGAGCGCGGACGAUUUACGUCGCCGGCCAGGUCGCACUUGAUGAACAUGGCGUGCUUGUCGGUGCUGGCGAUCUCUCUGCGCAAACAACCCAGGUGAUGAAAAAUAUCGGUCUGGCGCUCGCCGCGGCCAAUGCAAGUUUCGCGGACGUG